This 492-nucleotide ribosomal RNA is filed under the name uncultured bacterium. RNAcentral describes it as "partial 16S ribosomal RNA". It matches the Rfam family "Bacterial small subunit ribosomal RNA", at positions 29 to 507 of the family's 1533-position model. The record is from RNAcentral.
AGUGAACGCUGGCGGUAGGCCUAACACAUGCAAGUCGAACGGCAGCACAGUAAGAGCUUGCUCUUACGGGUGGAGAGUGGCGGACGGGUGAGGAAUACAUAGGAAUCUACUUUUUCGUGGGGGAUAACGUAGGGAAACUUACGCUAAUACCGCAUACGACCUACGGGUGAAAGCAGGGGAUCUUCGGACCUUGCGCGAUUGAAUGAGCCGAUGUCGGAUUAGCUAGUUGGCGGGGUAAAGGCCCACCAAGGCGACGAUCCGUAGCUGGUCUGAGAGGAUGAUCAGCCACACUGGAACUGAGACACGGUCCAGACUCCUACGGGAGGCAGCAGUGGGGAAUAUUGGACAAUGGGCGCAAGCCUGAUCCAGCCAUACCGCGUGGGUGAAGAAGGCCUUCGGGUUGUAAAGCCCUUUUGUUGGGAAAGAAAAGCAGCAGGUUAAUACCCCGCUGUUCUGACGGUACCCAAAGAAUAAGCACCGGCUAACUUCGUG